AGAGUUUGAUCCUGGCUCAGAUUGAACGCUGGCGGCAUGCUUUACACAUGCAAGUCGAACGGCAGCACGGGGGCGAACCCUCGGUGGCGAGUGGCGAACGGGUGAGUAAUGCAUCGGAACGUAUCCUUGAGUGGGGGAGUAACGCAGCGAAAGUUAGUGCUAAUAACCGCAUGAGCCCUCGAGGGGGAAAGGACGGGGGAGUCUUCGGACCUCGCGCUAAGAGAAGAGCCUACGUCUGAUUAGCUAGUUGGUAGGGUAAAAGGCCUACCAAGGCGACGAUCAGUAGCUGGUCUGAGAGGACGGACCAGCCACACUGGGACGUGAGACACGGCCCACGACUCCUACGGGAGGCGAC
RNAcentral lists this ribosomal RNA (355 nucleotides) under uncultured prokaryote. RNAcentral describes it as "bacterial SSU rRNA". It matches the Rfam family "Bacterial small subunit ribosomal RNA", at positions 8 to 352 of the family's 1533-position model. The record is from RNAcentral.